Non-coding RNA from Potamilus streckersoni, 77 nucleotides. Lineage: Eukaryota; Metazoa; Mollusca; Bivalvia; Unionida; Unionidae. The record is from the annotation of a GenBank genome assembly.
GACCGCUCCGGUAGCCUAGUUGUUAGAGCAUCCGCCUCGGAUGCGGGAGGUUGUUGGUUCGAAAUCCGCUUAAGUCA